CAACCGCAGCUCUGCCAAAUCUGAUGCGAGUGAAAUGAGUGGAUAAAGUUCAUCAAGUACAGUUAUCUCAAUAAUCUCUGAAUAUGCCACAGGGGAAAAACUUUCUAUUUAAAAUGAAACCAGCCUGGUCUUUUUGGAGCAAGAUUAUGGUGGAAAGGGUUAACGCGAGUACCUAAACAAACUAUAUGUCACAGUUCUUGUUAUAUUUAUUGGUUUUGUACUCUUGUGUUUUCAGUUCUCCUUUCUCUGUCCUUAUGUUUGCCAGUUUAAGCUGCUACUUUGAAGGAUAGUUUUUUAUGUGGCUCUUUGUAUUUUUUACAUCCUGGCUUUGUUUUUUCUUCCCUAUUCAACCUGGGUUUUGUUUCCCAAUCAUUGCCUGUGUCCCUGUGUUGCUGUACUCUUUUCUUUUCUUUUGUCCUCUGUUCCUUUGGUUUUUCCCUCAGUUAGCUCUAGUGAUAAUAUCCUACCUGCAGCACUUUUUUACUUUUUUUUCCAUUGAUAUCUCUUUUUUUUUUACCCUCAGCCUUUUCGCCUCUGCAUAGUCCUGCAUUUGUGCAAGUUUAAGAACCGUGGGUAAAUCAUAAAACCACUUCUGGGGCUUCGGAUAUCAAACUCCAACUCUACCAACUGUAUGUAAAAGGCCUUGGAAACAGGUCAAAAGAAACACACUUUCCAGUUCCAGAAACGAGACCCGAUUACAGAAAGACUUUGUCUCACAGUUUAUUUGUAAUCAGUGAGCAAUAGCAAGACUACUGAAGAGGCUAAGAAUGAAGUCAAAGUUGAAGUAAUGGCUUAGAACGACCUGCAGGGCUCCACAUAAGUGAGCCACUGGGAAAUCAAAUGAGACUACCACACUGCAGCUCUGUUUAUUUUUCCAGCACCGUAUUGCCUCUCCUGGGCAAAGUAAAAAAAAAAAAAAAAAAAUAGACAACACUGGGAGCUUCUCUUCCUCGGGGAGCUCAUACACCCACCGGAGGGAAACUGUUUUCCUCCCAGCUUUGCCCCUUCACAACGGAAAGACAAAACAACGCGCUGGUGGGCUCCUGCCAACUCUUGCAGCUGUACCAUCCUCCCAAAAGGCAUAAUUUCCUUCCAAAGGCCUUUCCUCUUCCUGUUUUGUGGAAUUCCACCAUGUUGUUUUCUAUUUUUUUUUUUUUAACCUCUUGUUUAUUAGAUGAGCAGCGAUGCAAUCACAGGAGGCCUACGGAAAAUAUUUUUGGUUCCUAAAUUGGAAGCAGACCUCAGUCACUUUUCCUCUCCUCUGUGACCGGGCAUUGAGUCAUAAUUGACCCUGUGUUUAUCAUAGCGUAUCACGCUGAGAUCAGAACAACUCUGUGUUGCAAGGGGGCGGCUUCAUCAAAGCAAGGGCAGCUCGCUUAGUCACUGAUGAACAAUCGCAAAG
This is a long non-coding RNA of Astatotilapia calliptera (eastern happy), 1402 nucleotides long. NCBI's taxonomy places the organism in Eukaryota, Metazoa, Chordata, Actinopteri, Cichliformes, Cichlidae. The record is from Ensembl.